UUUCUUUCGAAACUGCAGAUUCCAUUUUUGUAUGCCAUUGUUCAAAUUCUAAGGGUUUCUGAAUGAUCAACCUUUUGUUAGGAGUUUUCAGUUGCACUGAAAUUUUCCAUGUUUUUCAUAACCAUAAUAUGUGCUAUUCUUCAACUUCCUGCAUGCUGCUAUAAUUUGAGGAUCCAAAAGGAAAGAAAGGAUUUCAAACCUCAUAGUAAUUUGAGGAUCUUCAGCCUAUAAUUUUAGGGAACACAAAGGUGGAAUCACUUGUGGAGAAGGCUAGUAGCUCAGAACUAUCAACAUUAUGUCUCUAGAUUAACAAAUGUUCCAUAACAGCAGUAUGCCAUAUAGGCAAAUACACCCCAAAGAGCCGGAGACAGGAAAGUUAAGAAAGUGCUAGAGCUAAAGCAUUGCAUCAGAUCUGCUGAGGCAAUAUCGUUGCAAUUCUGAUAUGCAAUUGACGCCUAACGUAGAUGCAUUCAUGUCUCUGUCACAAAUUUUCAUCUACACAUCUUAUUUUCAUAAUUAGAACAAGCAUACCUAUGUUCUAAAGUGACAAUGAAGUGUGCUCCAAAUGUCUACAGAAACUCUAAAACUGUGCAGUAGAUCAAGUUUAUUCGGCUGUAAAUACCUAAUUACACACAAGAUCAUCCAAACUUUUACAUAUAUUUAAUAAGAAAGGGAAGCCAGCUAUAGCAUUGACUAAUCUGAGAUAUGAGAGCAUACUAUCACCUUAAUGUAUUGCCCAAGAAAUAAACUACCUCAAUCUAGCACGUAAAAGAAGGGGGCCUUGGUAAAAUUUGUUGUCAUGUGACCAGAAGGUCACAGGUUCAAGCUGUGGAAACAACCUCUUGCAGCAAUGCAGGGUAAGGUUGCGUACAAUAGACCCUUGUGGUCCAGCCUUUCCCCGGACCCCGCGCAUAACGGGAGCUUAGCGCACCAGGCUGCCCAUUAUUUUUUAAUCUAGCACAUAAAACUUUUCCUUGAUAGGCUGCUACAUUGGGCACCAUAACAUGUAUAACAGGUAAAUUAACAAGUCAAUUUCAGCAAAUAUGAAAAUAAUCAGUAACUAA
Molecule: long non-coding RNA, 1064 nt
Filed under: Nicotiana tabacum (common tobacco)
Lineage: Eukaryota; Viridiplantae; Streptophyta; Magnoliopsida; Solanales; Solanaceae
Description: long non-coding RNA (NTAB_LNC009482)
Source: RNAcentral